This 253-nucleotide ribosomal RNA is filed under the name uncultured bacterium. Its description in RNAcentral is "partial 16S ribosomal RNA". It matches the Rfam family "Bacterial small subunit ribosomal RNA", at positions 524 to 776 of the family's 1533-position model. The record is from RNAcentral.
UACGUAGGGGGCAAGCGUUGUCCGGAUUUAUUGGGCGUAAAGAGCGUGUAGACGGCCAGAUAGGUCCGUUGUGAAAACUGGAGGCUUAACCUCCAGCUGUCGAUGGAAACCAUCUGGCUAGAGUCCGGAAGAGGAGAGUGGAAUUCCUGGUGUAGCGGUGAAAUGCGCAGAUAUCAGGAAGAACACCCGUGGCGAAGGCGGCUCUCUGGGACGGUACUGACGCUGAGGAGCGAAAGCAUGGGGAGCGAACAGG